AGCAGGUAGAGCAGAGGACUGAAAAUCCUCGUGUCACCAGUUCAA
This 45-nucleotide transfer RNA is filed under the name Populus pruinosa. Its description in RNAcentral is "partial tRNA-Phe". The record is from RNAcentral. Lineage: Eukaryota; Viridiplantae; Streptophyta; Magnoliopsida; Malpighiales; Salicaceae.